Molecule: ribosomal RNA, 268 nt
Filed under: uncultured bacterium
Lineage: Bacteria
Description: partial 16S ribosomal RNA
Rfam family: Archaeal small subunit ribosomal RNA
Source: RNAcentral
GUGCCACCGCGGUAAUACCAGCACCCCGAGUGGUCGGGACGAUUAUUGGGCCUAAAGCAUCCGUAGCCGGUCCUACAAGUCUUCCGUUAAAUCCACCUGCUUAACAGAUGGGCUGCGGAAGAUACUAUAGGGCUAGGAGGCGGGAGAGGCAAGCGGUACUCAGUGGGUAGGGGUAAAAUCCUCUGAUCCAUUGAAGACCACCAGUGGCGAAGGCGGCUUGCCAGAACGCGCUCGACGGUGAGGGAUGAAAGCUGGGGGAGCAAACCGG